Molecule: ribosomal RNA, 465 nt
Filed under: Vreelandella stevensii
Lineage: Bacteria; Pseudomonadati; Pseudomonadota; Gammaproteobacteria; Oceanospirillales; Halomonadaceae
Description: partial 16S ribosomal RNA
Rfam family: Bacterial small subunit ribosomal RNA
Source: RNAcentral
CCUACGGGGGGCAGCAGUGGGGAAUAUUGGACAAUGGGGGGAACCCUGAUCCAGCCAUGCCGCGUGUGUGAAGAAGGCCCUCGGGUUGUAAAGCACUUUCAGUGAGGAAGAACGCCUGGUGGUUAAUACCCAUCAGGAAAGACAUCACUCACAGAAGAAGCACCGGCUAACUCCGUGCCAGCAGCCGCGGUAAUACGGAGGGUGCGAGCGUUAAUCGGAAUUACUGGGCGUAAAGCGCGCGUAGGUGGCUUGAUAAGCCGGUUGUGAAAGCCCCGGGCUCAACCUGGGAACGGCAUCCGGAACUGUCAAGCUAGAGUGCAGGAGAGGAAGGUAGAAUUCCCGGUGUAGCGGUGAAAUGCGUAGAGAUCGGGAGGAAUACCAGUGGCGAAGGCGGCCUUCUGGACUGACACUGACACUGAGGUGCGAAAGCGUGGGUAGCAGACAGGAUUAGAUACCCGAGUAGUC